AUUGAACGCUGGCGGAAUGCUUUACACAUGCAAGUCGAACGGCAGCACGGACUUCGGUCUGGUGGCGAGUGGCGAACGGGUGAGUAACAUAUCGGAACGUAUCCAAUAAUGGGGGAUAACUAAUCGAAAGGUUGGCUAAUACCGCAUACGCCCUACGGGGGAAAGCUAGGGACCUUCGGGCCUGGCGUUAAUGGAGCGGCCGAUAUCUGAUUAGCUAGUUGGUGAGGUAAAGGCUCACCAAGGCGACGAUCAGUAGCUGGUCUGAGAGGACGACCAGCCACACUGGAACUGAGACACGGUCCAGACUCCUACGGGAGGCAGCAGUGGGGAAUUUUGGACAAUGGGCGCAAGCCUGAUCCAGCCAUUCCGCGUGAGUGAAGAAGGCCUUCGGUGUAAAGCUCUUUCGCAAGGGAAGAAAUGAUACCGACGAAUAAUCGGUGUUAAUGACGGUACCUUGAUAGAAGCACCGGCUAACUACGUGCCAGCA
This 487-nucleotide ribosomal RNA is filed under the name uncultured bacterium. Its description in RNAcentral is "bacterial SSU rRNA". It matches the Rfam family "Bacterial small subunit ribosomal RNA", at positions 30 to 513 of the family's 1533-position model. The record is from RNAcentral.